RNAcentral lists this ribosomal RNA (473 nucleotides) under uncultured bacterium. RNAcentral describes it as "bacterial SSU rRNA". It matches the Rfam family "Bacterial small subunit ribosomal RNA", at positions 27 to 518 of the family's 1533-position model. The record is from RNAcentral.
GGACGAACGCUGGCGGCGUGCUCAUACAUGCAAGUCGAACGAUAAGGCACCUUCGGGUGUACAUAAGUGGCGGACGGGUGAGUAAUAUGUAGAGAAUCUGCCCCUAGAGCGGGGGACAACAGUUGGAAACGACUGGCUAAUACCCCAUAUGAGCGUAGUUGAAAUACUAUUCUUGAAAACUCCGGUGCUCUGGGAUGAGUCUGCAUCUGAUUAGCUAGUUGGGGGUGUAAUGGACCACCAAGGCGACGAUCACGUAGCUGGUUUGAGAGGAUGAUCAGCCACAAUGGGACUGAGACACGGCCCAUACUCCUACGGGAGGCAGCAGUAGGGAAUUUUGCGCAAUGGGGGCAACCCUUGACGCAGCAACGCCGCGUGACCGAUGAAGCCCUUCGGGGUGUAAAGGUCUGUCAGUGGGGACGAAACUUGACGGUACCCACAGAGGAAGCAUCGGCUAACUCCGUGCCAGCCGCCGC